Molecule: ribosomal RNA, 248 nt
Filed under: uncultured euryarchaeote
Lineage: Archaea; Methanobacteriati; Methanobacteriota
Description: partial 16S ribosomal RNA
Rfam family: Archaeal small subunit ribosomal RNA
Source: RNAcentral
GGCGGCUCGAGUGGUGGCCACUAUUACUGGGCUUAAAGCGUUCGUAGCUGGUCUGUUAAGUCUCUGGGGAAAUCUACCGGCUUAACCGGUAGGCGUCUCAGGGAUACUGGCAGACUAGGGACCGGGAGAGGUGAGGGGUACUCCAGGGGUAGGAGUGAAAUCCUGUAAUCCUUGGGGGACCACCUGUGGCGAAGGCGCCUCACCAGAACGGCUCCGACAGUGAGGGACGAAAGCUGGGGGAGCAAACC